GUACUCACUUCAGCAGCACAUAUACUAAAAGUGGAACAAUAUGGAGAAGAUAUGCAUGGCACUUGUGCAAAUAUGGCAUGCAAAUUCGUGAAGCAUUCCAUAUUUUU
Sciurus vulgaris (Eurasian red squirrel) is the source of this 107-nucleotide small nuclear RNA. Lineage: Eukaryota; Metazoa; Chordata; Mammalia; Rodentia; Sciuridae. The record is from Ensembl.